AAUCAACGCUGGCGGCGUGCCUAACACAUGCAAGUCGAACGCGAAAACCCCGGCAAGGGGUUAUUAGAGUGGCGAACGGGUGAGUAACACGUGGGUGACCUACCUUCGAAUGGGGGAUAACGUCCCGAAAGGGACGCUAAUACCGCAUAACAUCCUGCUUUUGAAUAGGUGGAGAUCAAAGCCGGGGAUCGCAAGACCUGGCGUUUGAAGAGGGGCCCGCGUCUGAUUAGCUAGUUGGUGAGGUAACGGCUCACCAAGGCAACGAUCAGUAUCCGGCCUGAGAGGGCGGACGGACACACUGGGACUGAGACACGGCCCAGACUCCUACGGGAGGCAGCAGUGGGGAAUUGUUCGCAAUGGGCGCAAGCCUGACGACGCAACGCCGCGUGGAGGAUGAAGGUCUUCGGAUUGUAAACUCCUGUUGCCCGGGACGAAAUGCUUCGACCUAACACGUCGAAGUUUGACGGUACCGGGUGAGGAAGCCCCGGCUAACUCUGUGCCAGCAGCCGCGGUAAUACAGAGGGGGCAAGCGUUGUUCGGAAUUACUGGGCGUAAAGGGCGCGUAGGCGGCCUUCUAAGUCGAACGUGAAAUCCCCGGGCUCAACCCGGGAACUGCGUCCGAUACUGGAAGGCUUGAAUCCGGGAGAGGGAUGCGGAAUUCCAGGUGUAGCGGUGAAAUGCGUAGAUAUCUGGAGGAACACCGGUGGCGAAGGCGGCAUCCUGGACCGGCAUUGACGCUGAGGCGCGAAAGCCAGGGGAGCAAACGGAAUUAGAUACCCCGGUAGUCCUGGCCCUAAACGAUGAAUGCUUGGUGUGGCGGGUAUCGAUCCCUGCCGUGCCGAAGCUAACGCAUUAAGCAUUCCGCCUGGGGAGUACGGUCGCAAGGCUG
This 889-nucleotide ribosomal RNA is filed under the name uncultured bacterium. RNAcentral describes it as "bacterial SSU rRNA". It matches the Rfam family "Bacterial small subunit ribosomal RNA", at positions 28 to 896 of the family's 1533-position model. The record is from RNAcentral.